Molecule: long non-coding RNA, 564 nt
Organism: Cebus imitator (Panamanian white-faced capuchin)
Lineage: Eukaryota; Metazoa; Chordata; Mammalia; Primates; Cebidae
Exons: 4
Source: RefSeq, a predicted model, not a curated record
UUUCAAUGAAGAAUAUGUUGUUGAAUCAAAAAGCUAAUUGGACCAUUGAUCUUAAAUCUUUUGUAGGUGAUGCUGAGAAGAAAUCUCCAUGUAAACUCAAAGCUAAUGACCUACUUUCCUUUGGGAUGCAAUCAUUGGCAGUUCGACAACUUUCACAUCAAAGUUUUCAAGUUGAGGGAAGUCAUUUAAGUAAGCUUAACCUAAACUCAUUUAUUGUGAAACAGAGAGUGUGAGAUACACCGGAUGCAGAGAAGGUCAAAACUGAAUAGGAAGAUUUUAUCCAGCUCUGGCUUCUACAAGUGAGGGGGAGUAAAGACAACCCACGGAAGAAGCUGUCUGAAGGAGAUACAGGACUGCCAAUGGUUUGAAUGUGCCUCCUCCAAAAUUCAGGUAUUGCCAAUGUGAUAGUAUUGAAACAGCCUCGUUACCUGGAAUUCUUCAUCAUAACUGAAGAAAUCAAGGAAUGUGGACUCCAGGGGUGAAGUUAGAGCAGAAGUUUAAUAAAUGAAAGGAAGAGAGAAAGCUCUCUACUGCGAGAGGAGUCCUGAAAGAGGGUUUCUGUUU